AACGAACGCUGGCGGCAGGCCUAACACAUGCAAGUCGAACGCCCGUAGCAAUACGGGAGUGGCAGACGGGUGAGUAACGCGUGGGAACGUGCCCUUCGGUUCGGAAUAACUCAGGGAAACUUGAGCUAAUACCGGAUACGUCCGUAAGGAGAAAGAUUUAUCGCCGAAGGAUCGGCCCGCGUCGGAUUAGCUAGUUGGUGAGGUAACGGCCCACAAGGCGACGAUCCGUAGCUGGUCUGAGAGGANGAUCAGCCACACUGGGACUGAGACACGGCCCAGACUCCUACGGGAGGCAGCAGUGGGGAAUAUUGGACAAUGGGCGAAGGCCUGAUCCAGCGAUGCCGCGUGUGUGAAGAAGGCCUGCGGGUUGUAAAGCACUUUCAGUA
Molecule: ribosomal RNA, 386 nt
Filed under: uncultured bacterium
Lineage: Bacteria
Description: bacterial SSU rRNA
Rfam family: Bacterial small subunit ribosomal RNA
Source: RNAcentral